GAAUUUUUAUUUGAGUGUAGUACAAGUAGUUUUAUUUUUAGUUCAGUUGUUGGUCAGGGUAAAAAAAUUUGUAGAAGCUUUAAAAACUAUUAUAUUCGCGACUACGAAGUUGAGUUUGACAGCUUAUGUGUGUGAAGUGGAGGUAAACAAGAAAAGAUAAAAAAGUAAUAAAUUUUGAAACGUACCGUUUUAUGCUAUUUUCGCUACUCAGUUUGAAAUGUGAUGCUUAUUUUCCCGAGUAAAAAACAGCUGUUGGUAUCUGAAAAAAAGUAAACAACAUUUCAAAACAGAAAUUAUGAAUUAAAAUCUAUUCAUAUGUUUAAAAUUUUUUCUAUGUGCUUUAGAACUGGAUGUUUUCUACUCAUGGUGAGCCAUUAUCAAGUUAUACGUAUGGUGUGUUGGUGAACUUGCCGGAUGUUUUCAGCUUCGCUGCUGGAAUUAGCAAUUUGGUAGUCAAACGCCAACGGGUAUUCCAGGCUGGUUACCUCCUGAUAGUUGCAUUAGAUGAGGUAUACAAUGGGGGAUUUGGUGCAUUUCCCUCUUGUUUAUGUCAUCCUCUUUAAGUGCCGAACCGCGCACAAUGAAAAUCGCUGCAAAAACUACUUCGGAUAUAUAUCAGGCCACAAGAUUGAGAGAUCUGUUUCGGAAGAGUUGGGAAACUCUCAAAUUUGGAACCAUUUCGUGGGAGGUACAUGAGGUAACCGAAAGUUGAAGAAUUGCUGAUGCUGGGAGAAAAUAAUUACUAAAAAAUAAAAACUAUAUCAGGAAUUAAAAUGUUCUAAAAUAUUUUAUUACAUAAUAUAUUCGACAUAUCAACAAUUUCUCAAGCGAUAAUCAUGAGCAAACGGGCAGAAAUCUUGAGUCCACUUUAAAACUGAAAAACAAAAAUUCUUAAUCAUUGAUACGUACGUUUCAUACUUGUAAAUAGACAGCGAGUAACGCAUGUCUGGGUUUGAUUCUUACACUUACUUGAUGGAAAAUAUAAUAUAUUGAAGGUGUAGUGAAAUAGAAACUACACACACGCACAGUAUUCGUUGGCUCAAUUUUGAACAUAGUGUCUUGACAUUUUCGGGAUGGAAUGAAAUGAUAUUCCUGGCGGACACUUGUGUUUGUAUUCUUCCUUUCGUUAAUGCCCUCGUCAGCAUCAGAAACAUUGUCAAAAAUCGUUUUUGCGUAAUCAUCAAAACUGCUUUUCAGAUCCAUGUUCUACUAUAUUCAGAGAAAACAUAAUUUUACUUAAGUCUCGAUAAACUUUUUUUGUAAUGUUACGUACUAGCUCGUCAUAUAAACAUACCGUAACGUAAUGAUUUUUUCACAAAACAUCAUGUGUGCUCUUACCUAUGCGUGUUACCAGCGCCGGAAUAGAAGUUUCAUUAUCGUUUUUUCUAACACAAAACCAACUUCAAAACACAACUAAACAAAUUGAAAAGUCUAGGUAAGAGCCGUUAUCGGUUUUUUAUAUUUUUACAUGCACAAAAUCACUUUAAAAAACAGAGAAAUAAUGCAUUUAUUUAAGCGAAAAAGUUCUAUAUUUUGUUUACAUUCUCUUCACACACAGACUAAACUUUGAUAGAUGGCAGCACCGCUCCUUCUAUGUCGCGAAUUACUUGUCAAAAGAGGCACUAAUUACAGCUGUCAUAAAAUUGGUAGUGAUUGCAGAAUCAAUUACAAAAUUUUAUGAAACAUAAUCAGAAUCAUAUGGCAUUUGAAUUGUUGCCCGGGAUUGUACGUGACUAAUCGCUUGGUUUAUAUAAUAUUAUUAAUUCAAUAAUGUCUUUUUGUCGCACAAACGAUGGAAAGUAUAUUUCGUAUAAAAAGCAUACCGAAAACCUGAUAAGAUUUCAGAAUCUGUGCAACAUAUUGAAAAUGUUCGAUUACUAAUUUAUCUGUACAUCUGGCAUUUCUGGCAAUAACUAUAUUCUCGACGGCGAAUUCGGUGAGCUUUUCUCAGCGAGGGCUAACUUAGCGCACUGUACGCAUAUGCCCGAUGGUAAAUUCCCAUUGAAAAGGAAAAUGUCAAGUGUUUUGGAAUAAAAUCGUCUAGUUAGGAUGAAAGUGAUUAUAAUUAUGUUUUGUUAUUCGAAAUCCUUCAAUAACGUACCUGCUUUAGUAUUCAGUUUAUAAACAAAAUCAGCAGUGUAAUAGAAUACCGGCAAAUAUAAUUACUUAAGGUAGUGUGAACCAACAACAGGCAGAAAUAUGAGUUCCAUCGUACGAUGAUGAAUUCAUAUUAAAACAGUAUUCCUGUUAGAUUGACGAAUGCGGUAAAAACGGUCAAGUUGACUGGUGUCACGAGAAGGAUAUAACUCUACACCUUGUAGUACAGUAUUUAUUACCAUUGUAUUAUUUCAGAUAACACUGACUCAACGACUACUGAAUGAUUCGAGUGUAAGAAAUCGUGGAAAGCAACCAAAACAAAAAAAAUCGAUAUAGUAGAAUCUUCAACCAUCCAAUAAAGAAAUAUCUUGAGGGAUUGGAUUAAGGUUAUUAAAUAAAUGGUGCAAAAAAAGGUAGUCGAAAUAUUUUUUCACAAGGAUACUGUUUGUUCAAACAC
This is a long non-coding RNA of Malaya genurostris, 2554 nucleotides long. RefSeq lists it as uncharacterized. The transcript has 5 exons. The record is from RefSeq and is a predicted model, not a curated record. Lineage: Eukaryota; Metazoa; Arthropoda; Insecta; Diptera; Culicidae.